UACGAGGGGAGCAAGCGUUGUUCGGAUUUACUGGGCGUAAAGGGCGCGUAGGCGGUCGUGACAAGUCACUUGUGAAAUCUCCGGGCUUAACUCGGAACGGUCAAGUGAUACUGUCGGACUAGAGUACAGAAGGGGCAACUGGAAUUCUCGGUGUAGCGGUGAAAUGCGUAGAUAUCGAGAGGAACACCUGCGGCGAAGGCGGGUUGCUGGGCUGAUACUGACGCUGAGACGCGAAAGCGUGGGGAGCGAACAGG
This 254-nucleotide ribosomal RNA is filed under the name uncultured bacterium. RNAcentral's name for it is "partial 16S ribosomal RNA". It matches the Rfam family "Bacterial small subunit ribosomal RNA", at positions 524 to 776 of the family's 1533-position model. The record is from RNAcentral.